This 22-nucleotide non-coding RNA is filed under the name Mus musculus (house mouse). Lineage: Eukaryota; Metazoa; Chordata; Mammalia; Rodentia; Muridae. The record is from RNAcentral.
UGCAUGCCUUGAAGCCCCCUUC